GGGCGGAUCUACUAAGGGACCAAGGUGGUCCCAGGACCACCCGAAGCUCGGAAAAAUGGCUGUGAGGAUCUUCAAGGACCACCCAAGUCUGGCAGUGAUGGAGAAGAACAGCAGCCAUGGCUGCUCUGGUCGCUGGGCAUUUCAGAAUGAGGAAGAAGAAAGCAAAUUUUUUUUUUAAAAUGACUUGGCCAAAACGACGUCGUUUUGAGCCAAGUCAUUAAAAAAAAUUUAAAACCUCACUGCUCACUCACGUGAGAACACUCAGGCUCAGCUCCUUCACACAACAAUCGGAACUUCACUUUACCAAAUCGUUCAACGCUCUUCGUUCUCGUUACCAAAUCCUUCACACAACAAGGUCUGCUUGCUCUCAUUCCUUACGGCGUCAGCAUCGAACUCUCUUCUGCACUGCACUAGUUUCUGAAUCUGAAUCUGAUUGCUUGCACUGCACAACAAUCAGAACUUCACUCUCUUCUCGCUCUCGUUCCUUCAGAGAUGAGGGCAAGGUCAGGAAAGUGUUGAAGGUGGAGCCUCUCCCAGACGAAUCUGGCCAUUUCUUUAACCUGAGUAAUCAUCUUUUCCUUGAAAUCUUGGUGGACAUUUAUCUUCACCUUAUUAUACCAUAAUAUGUGAUUUGAUGCUGCAAUUUCUUAAUUUUCAGUCAACAUUUUGAGUAUAGUCAAUCGUUCGUACAUCAAUGCUUUAGGCAAACUUUUCUCAUUUAUUCAUCCGCCUAUAGACUUUGCAGUUGUAAAGUUCAUAACUAAACACCAUUAUGCUGCAUGGUUAAGUAAUGGAUAAGCAAUACAUAUGAUGCAUGUAUGGUUGUGCUUUUA
Non-coding RNA from Malus domestica (apple), 833 nucleotides. NCBI's taxonomy places the organism in Eukaryota, Viridiplantae, Streptophyta, Magnoliopsida, Rosales, Rosaceae. The record is from RefSeq and is a predicted model, not a curated record.